This 218-nucleotide small RNA is filed under the name Priestia koreensis. Its description in RNAcentral is "Bacillus koreensis Bacillus sRNA ncr1575". It matches the Rfam family "Bacillus sRNA ncr1575". Lineage: Bacteria; Bacillati; Bacillota; Bacilli; Caryophanales; Bacillaceae. The record is from Rfam by way of RNAcentral.
AAUAUUUAAACGAGAGGAAUGAUGGGUGGACGAUGAUUAACUAAUCUUAUUUUUUAUCAAUUGAAAUUAAAUAUUUCAACUUGUACAAAAGAUAGGAUUAGUCUGCCCAUUUUUCAAUGUUCGGUAUUUCAUAUAAUGCACGCGCUACGACUCGUAGCUUUUUUCCGCAUGCAUUGUAUAAGACUAGUCCUUCCAAUUGACUUUGGGAGGAUUUUUUU